GAUGAACGCUGGCGGCGUGCCUAAUACAUGCAAGUCGAGCGAACGGACGAGAAGCUUGCUUCUCUGAUGUUAGCGGCGGACGGGUGAGUAACACGUGGAUAACCUACCUAUAAGACUGGGAUAACUUCGGGAAACCGGAGCUAAUACCGGAUAAUAUUUUGAACCGCAUGGUUCAAAAGUGAAAGACGGUCUUGCUGUCACUUAUAGAUGGAUCCGCGCUGCAUUAGCUAGUUGGUAAGGUAACGGCUUACCAAGGCAACGAUGCAUAGCCGACCUGAGAGGGAGGCCGCACACCUGGGAAGAGAGACAGGGCCGCCACACCGGGGGGGGGAAGCAGAACGGAAUCUUCCGCAAGGGGGAAGUGCGGAAGGGAGCACGACGGGGGGAGGGAUGAAGGUGUACGGACGGGAAAGUUCUGUAAUUCGGAAAGAACAAAUGUGAAAUUACCUGGGAAGAUAAUGACGGUACCGAAAGAAAAAGCCCCGGCUAACUACGUG
Molecule: ribosomal RNA, 497 nt
Filed under: uncultured bacterium
Lineage: Bacteria
Description: partial 16S ribosomal RNA
Rfam family: Bacterial small subunit ribosomal RNA
Source: RNAcentral